Molecule: ribosomal RNA, 440 nt
Filed under: uncultured bacterium
Lineage: Bacteria
Description: partial 16S ribosomal RNA
Rfam family: Bacterial small subunit ribosomal RNA
Source: RNAcentral
CCUACGGGAGGCAGCAGUGGGGGAUAUUGCACAAUGGGGGGAACCCUGAUGCAGCGACGCCGCGUGGGUGAAGAAGUGCUUCGGUGUGUAAAGCCCUAUCAGCAGGGAAGAAGAUGACGGUACCUGACUAAGAAGCCCCGGCUAACUACGUGACAGCCGCCGCGGUAAUACGUAGGGGGCAAGCGUUAUCCGGAUUUACUGGGUGUAAAGGGAGCGUAGACGGCUUUGCAAGUCAGCGGUGAACGCCCGGGGCUCAACCCCGGGACUGCAUUUGAAACUGGAAUGCUGGAGUGCAGGAGGGGCAAGCGGAAUUCCUAGUGUAGCGGUGAAAUGCGUAGAUAUUAGGAGGAACACCGGUGGCGAAGGCGGCUGGCUGGACGGUAACUGACGUUGAGGCUCGAAAGCGUGGGGAGCAAACAGGAUUAGAUACCCGGGUAGUC